CCUACGGGUGGCAGCAGUGAGGAAUAUUGGUCAAUGGGCGGAAGCCUGAACCAGCCAAGUCGCGUGAGGGAUUAAGGCCCUGCGGGUCGUAAACCUCUUUUGCCGGGGAGCAGUGGUCCGGACGCGUCCGGACCGGGAGAGUACCCGGAGAUAAAGCAUCGGCUAACUCGGUGCAAGCAGCCGGGGUAAUACGGAGGAUGCAAGCGUUAUCCGGUUUUAUUGGGUUUAAGGGGUGCGUAGGCGGUCCUUUAAGCCGGCGGUCAAAUGUGGGGGCUCAACCCCCGCCGGCCGUCGGAACUGGGUGCCUGGAGGGGGCUAGAAGUAGGCGGAAUGCGUGGUGUAGCGGUGAAAUGCAUAGAUAUCACGCAGAACCCCGAUUGCGAAGGCAGCAUACCGGCGCCCUACUGACGCUGAGGCACGAAAGUGCGGGUAUCGAACAGGAUUAGAUACCCGUGUAGUC
Molecule: ribosomal RNA, 460 nt
Filed under: uncultured bacterium
Lineage: Bacteria
Description: partial 16S ribosomal RNA
Rfam family: Bacterial small subunit ribosomal RNA
Source: RNAcentral